GCCGGAGUGAACAACAAUGGCGGAUGUUCAGAGAAGAGGAAGACCAUUACCUCCUCCUCCACCCAGAGGUCCACAUGGUCCACCUCCUCAAAGGAUUGCUCCACGCCCCGUACCAGUUGAUCGCGAAAAGACUUGUCCUCUGUUGCUUCGUGUUUUCACUAAGGUUGGAGGCCAUCACAAUGUUAAUGAAUUUGCUGUGAGGGGCAAGGAACCCAAAGAUGAGGUCCAAAUCUAUACAUGGAUGGAUGCUACUCUGCGCGAACUAACUGAUCUGGUUAAAGAGGUAGCUCCAGAAGCAAGACGAAGAGAUGCAAUUUUGUCCUUUGCUUUUGUCUAUCCUGAUAAAAGGGGGCGAUUUGUCGUUAGAGAGGUGGGGACUACAUUUUCUUAUCCCAAUAUGAGGCGACCAGAUAAUGGCAGCAAAACAUUGAGUGAACUUAAAUUUCAGGUAAUGCUCUCUUCGUAUGAGAUCAUUGACCUCAUCAUUUUUCUCGGAAUUUGGUAUUGACUUGUUUCUUGCCACUUCAGAUAGGAGAUUACUUGGAUGUGGCUAUCAUGUUCCAGUGAGCGUUAUGUCACCCUGUAAUGGAAUUAGAAUUACGCAGACUUGUAUUACUUUGUGUUUCUUCUUAAUUCUUCAUAUCUGUAUUUUUCUUGAUAACCUGACCUAUUGUUCAUUUUUGCUGUAAAUCUGAGAUUAUGUCCAGAGUUCUCUAUGACUAGAUCUGUGAUAUUACGAUAGUAUGUCAUGGGAUUUAACUGCAUUCUUCUUAUGAAUUGUCA
Molecule: unclassified non-coding RNA, 783 nt
Filed under: Hevea brasiliensis (rubber tree)
Lineage: Eukaryota; Viridiplantae; Streptophyta; Magnoliopsida; Malpighiales; Euphorbiaceae
Source: RNAcentral